This 5568-nucleotide long non-coding RNA is filed under the name Lupinus angustifolius (narrow-leaved blue lupine). RNAcentral's name for it is "long non-coding RNA (LANG_LNC002297)". The record is from RNAcentral. Lineage: Eukaryota; Viridiplantae; Streptophyta; Magnoliopsida; Fabales; Fabaceae.
AUAACUUGACAAGGUAGAGUGCAAAAGAUAGAAGAAGACUCCAGUCAGAUCCUUUGCACCUACAUGAUGCUCUUGCCUAAGAGCACAGAUCUACCUGUGGAUAAGGGGACUGCUUUUGGAAUCGACUGAGGCAGCCUCUUUUCCCGACGAUGAUGUGACAAUUAGCCUCUCAAGGUGAGCUGUUGAGUUGCAGUAGAAAAUUCUUGCCACCUGCAGAUCUUUGAACAUACAAAAGGCUUAGGAGUUUAUUGUUUCGCGGCAUGUUGUUGAAACAAAAUUAUUUGAUCUAAAAUGGCAAAAUACUCUGGAAAAAAGGCCAAGAUUAGAUACAGCAUGGAUGGUUAUUGCAAUGGCUUGUGAGUUAUCUGCAUCCAGUGAAUGCUAUGAAGAUGAUGGUCUGGUCUUUCUCAUUGCAAGAAGAAAUUUUGUUGUAGAACAUGUCUACUGGCUUUGGAUUUCAUCAUUCAUUUGGUAUAUUUUUUCCCAGCACCAGAGCACGGUAUUACCACGAAACCUUGUACAGAGUUCUAACCAAUUCUUUCUCAUGUAACAAAAAUUAGUUUCUAUUUUUAUUCCAGUAGAAUUUUGUAGGAUAUCUUCAAGAGCAUGUUGUAUAGCUGUCAGGUUGAGAAAUAGAAAUCAGGUCUCUGUAUUGUAACUGUAUCAUAAGUGAAGAGCAGGCCGAGUUAGAAGUAUUGAUAGUUUCAUUAUCUUGUUAAAUCCAAUGCACAGUGUAUGAACUGUAGAAGGUUCUUGUUUCAUUAAGUUACCCAUGUCCAGCUCAUAAAAUUGAGCACUUCGGACUAUGGACAGACAGAGGGGUGUAAGCAGUUUCAGUUUAUAAACUGCGAAACAUGUGGGAUCAAACCAAACAAAACCAGAAAACGUUGUCUUGUUCAGUUUGGGGACGUCCUUCCUGAACAAGAUAGUAGAAACAUUUCAAACUUGCAAAGAUAGUGUAGCAUUAGCUAUUGUAUGGGGAUGUCCUUCCUGGCUAGUUGCCUAAUCAUUUUCCAUCUCACUGAUCAUUCAGUUCUUAAUAUUCUAUAAGUUUGUGUGGUUUAAAAAGUCAGGUCCAGUUGAACCGUACAGUAGUGAUUAAGAUUUUUCUACAAUUGAAUUAGUUCCUUCUUAUGUAGUUUACCAUUAUAUGAGUGCUCUGAGCUUAUUUCUGUCCAAUGAUCCCAUGGAUUCGAAUCAUAACAUUCCUUUAUCAUGACAAUGAGAUGAUCUCAUGGGUUUUCAAAAUAAAAAGAGGAUUCAGGCCUUGAACUAACGCAUAAUAUACAUCUUUCAUGGGGUCUACAAAGAUAAGCUGUUGUCUAUUGUUUUUUUAUUCUUUAACUUUUUAGUUGAGAAACGAUAAAACAAGUUCAUGAAUGAAAUAAAUAAAUUAUAUUGGGAACAGCUCCCACAUUUACAAUCAGGAACACAUGCAAAUAUUCGUCUAAAUACACGAUCCAAAAUGAAAGGAAAUAAACAUAUGCAUUUAUAUUAGAGAAAAAGAUGUAUACAGUGACAGUUUUAUACAUUAUUAUUACAUCAUUCACUAUUGUUAUUUAAUUAUUAUUAACUUUCAGAAAAAGUAAUCCAAAUGAAUGGUGGAUGAUGGGUGAUAAAGUGUAUGAGUAUAAAUUUUUAUACUGUCAGUAUAUAGAUUUUACACUCUUUGUGUUAUGAGUGUAAUCAUUAUCUAAUGUCACUAUAAAGAUUCAUACGCAUCAAAUAUGAAUGAUAAAUAAUAUAAUAAUAGUAUAAAACACUUUUACAUGAUCCAUGCUUAUUAGAUAAAAAGAAUUACAAGUAGUACGUAGUUUAUAUCGAUAUAAAGUGGUAACCAAUGUCUCUGAGUUACCUUUUCUAUUUUUAGGUAGUUGAUUAGUUAGAGGAAGUAACAUGGUCAACAAGUUACUUCCUAUUAUUAUUUCCCUUGUAAGCUUUCCUCAUUUUGAUACAAUUGUAAUUGUCCUAGUCAUGACAUGGUGCUAUUAUGCACCAACUGUCAAGGGUGAUAAAAAUUAAGUACAAAUAUGAAUGAAAAUGCUCUCUAAAGUCAUUGAAGGCUAUGACUUUCCAGGAGUGUGAUAGUGCUCUGGCAACUCGGAAUUGGAACAAGGCCUCAAUAGAAGUUGCAUUUGCUGAGAGAAUGAAUAAGGAGUUGUAGAUAUAGGUGUGAAGGAUUGGUUUGUAAUAGUUUAUUAUAGAAGUGAAGGAUGGUGAGAAAGUUAGUUUAUGGUGGUUGCAGUGAUUGAAUUUUGGAUGCUUUUGCAAUGAGGAGAAAGGUGAGGGUGAAGAUUGUGAGGGAGGAGGGAUGAGCUUGCGAGAAGAACAUUAAAGCAGAGAAUGGAAAUGCUAAAAAAGCUGAGGUUGAGGUGACAUUGUUUAAAUAUAUUUUCAACUAUAUUUUAGUAUUUGGGUUGAUAUUGUAUUAAACUAAUUAUAAUUAGAGUUAGUUUUAGUAGUUUUAGUUAGUUAAGUUUUGUUUCCAUGUAUAUAUAGUUUAUUUUCAUUGUAAAUUAUCAUUCAAUUUAAUGAGAAAUAUUAUUCUUUCUCCUUCUUUCUUCUUUAAGAUUCUAUUUCUCAUUCAAGCAUGGCUCCUACCACUUUAAUAUGGUAUCAGAAUAAUGUAAUUAUUUCUUCUGUUGUUUAUCCAUCAAUCUCUAUUCUUGUACAUUCUUUGCUUAUGAGCCAGUGUAUCAAAUUGCGGACCACAUCACGUGAUGCGGCCGCAAUAUUGUGGUUGCGAUGACCGUCGCAACCGUAUCACACCGCAAUUGCAGCGUGAUCCUGAUUCACAGUGAUGCGACCGCAACAGGUCACGAUGCAACCGCAUCAGACUGCAUUUGGACCGCAUCGGGACGCAACGGAACCGCAUCAGGCUGCAUCAGACCGCAUCGAUGUCAAAAAUAUUAAAUGUUAUUUGCUUAUGUUCCAAUGGAGGUCAAAUUCAAGAGGAAAAAAACAGCCAAAGGGUUUUGUGAUGACUUAAUUCUAUGGCAAUGAAAGAAUAAGUGAAACAAGUGAGACACGAGAUGGAGACAAGUGAUAAGACCUUAGAACGCCCCAAGAGAGUGAUCUCUUGAUAAGUUCUGGUUUGGAAUGCCUCAAAGAACCCAUGAAAAUCGAACUAUGCACUAAGCACAUAAGCACAUAAGCUCUAAAGCUUUCUUGUUAUAUGUUGUUAUUCCAUUGAUUCAGGUUGCUACAUAUAAAGGUAGAUGCAUCAGACAAGAAGCCAACACGUCGGAGUCGUUGUAGGGCCUGUGAGUCUUCUCGCUGCCAAAAAACAUUUUACUGAACAACUUCCCUCUAGGGUCAAACAUGAAUCUUACAUAUUCACCCUUGUGAUUUAUUGGAUUAGUUCAGCCUUGCUAUUUUAAUCGUUGAAUCCCCCUUAGCAGACAUCACUAUUGCUUGGAGCGACUGAGAUGAUCGAAGUAGACUGAACUCGAACCCGGAGGAGUGCAAACGAUGUUUUGGAUAAAGUGGGAACAACUGUAAAACCCAAGAUCUGUUCACAUGUAGUAAUGUACUCCGGAGACAAACCAUAAAGGGCAAGGAUCAUAAAGAAGGUAUUGUGUUGCUCAAGUUGUUUCUUCUUUUCAGCAGGGCAAAUGUAGCCGUAGGUAGAAGUUCAAUGAAAUGAUGAAGUGCGGCAUGAACAUGAGCAAAAUAGCCGGACAUAGGAUCAUCAACACAUGAUGAAGUUCAUUGAAUGUCAUUGGGAUAGAGUUCCUUAGCCUGACUCCAAAUCGAUUCAUAACACAUGAAAUGGGGACCGAAAACCAGUUUGGUAGGGGAUGAAGUGUUGACAUGAUAACACUGCACAAUGUGCAUCAACCUUCUCUUACUUUGGACGUUCAGUCGCCGACACAUCUUUAGCUUUUUUAGCGAGAUGUUCUUAAUACCCUUGACCAUCUAAUUGAUUAUAUCAUAUAUACACAGAUUUUAUAGUCCAUAGGAAAGGACUGGAUAUUGUUUCAUUGUUCUUGCAUGUUCAAUUUUAUAUGUGGAAAAAAGGUGAGACAGUUGAUGAAAAUGGAUGUUGGUCUUGGACGGUUCUGAGGUACCAGAAGCCGCCAUAAGUGACUAACUAAUCAGGCUUGGGACUAACUAAUAUUAACAAUGUCAACAAUUAUAAAGAUACCCAGUCCUAAACCAAUGUAAUUAAAAGAAUAAAUGGAACAUUGCAUCUAAUUGAUUAUAUCAUAUAUACACAGAUUUUAUAAUUGAUAGAAAAGGACUGAAUAUAGUUUCACUGUUCUUGCAUAUUUAAUUUUAUAUUUGGAAAAAAUGUGAUAUGUUCUGUUAUCUAUUCUAUAAUGCUCUGGCUAAUUUCUUACUCUUGCUGUUUGGUUGAUUACAGUUACCGCAACUCUCUUAAAUUUUGUAAGGUUGUUCCGGAAAUCGCAUGAAGAGAAUAUUAAAGAAGCAGAGUUAGAGAAGAAGAAAGCUGAGAAAGAGGCUGAAAUGGACAAGGCUAAAGGCAUUAACUUGACAAAGAAGGGUGCAAAAGAUAGAGAAGAAGAAACCGGAGAAAGCUGAGAAAGAGGCUGUAAUGGAGAAGGCCAAGGGAAUAACUUGACAAGGUAGAGUGCAAAAGAUAGAAGAAGACUCCAGUCAGAUCCUUUGCACCUACAUGAUGCUCUUGCCUAAGAGCACAGAUCUACCUGUGGAUAAGGGGACUGCUUUUGGAAUCGACUGAGGCAGCCUCUUUUCCCGACGAUGAUGUGACAAUUAGCCUCUCAAGGUGAGCUGUUGAGUUGCAGUAGAAAAUUCUUGCCACCUGCAGAUCUUUGAACAUACAAAAGGCUUAGGAGUUUAUUGUUUCGCGGCAUGUUGUUGAAACAAAAUUAUUUGAUCUAAAAUGGCAAAAUACUCUGGAAAAAAGGCCAAGAUUAGAUACAGCAUGGAUGGUUAUUGCAAUGGCUUGUGAGUUAUCUGCAUCCAGUGAAUGCUAUGAAGAUGAUGGUCUGGUCUUUCUCAUUGCAAGAAGAAAUUUUGUUGUAGAACAUGUCUACUGGCUUUGGAUUUCAUCAUUCAUUUGGUAUAUUUUUUCCCAGCACCAGAGCACGGUAUUACCACGAAACCUUGUACAGAGUUCUAACCAAUUCUUUCUCAUGUAACAAAAAUUAGUUUCUAUUUUUAUUCCAGUAGAAUUUUGUAGGAUAUCUUCAAGAGCAUGUUGUAUAGCUGUCAGGUUGAGAAAUAGAAAUCAGGUCUCUGUAUUGUAACUGUAUCAUAAGUGAAGAGCAGGCCGAGUUAGAAGUAUUGAUAGUUUCAUUAUCUUGUUAAAUCCAAUGCACAGUGUAUGAACUGUAGAAGGUUCUUGUUUCAUUAAGUUACCCAUGUCCAGCUCAUAAAAUUGAGCACUUCGGACUAUGGACAGACAGAGGGGUGUAAGCAGUUUCAGUUUAUAAACUGCGAAACAUGUGGGAUCAAACCAAACAAAACCAGAAAACGUUGUCUUGUUCAGUUUGGGGACGUCCUUCCUGAACAAGAUAGUAGAAACAUUUCAAACUUGCAAAGAUAGUGUAGCAUUAGCUAUUGUAUGGGGAUGUCCUUCCU